AGUCGGUUCCAUAACACCGUGAAGAGAUGGGGGCUCGGUCUCUGUUUUGUGAUGCUGGUGCUCAGCUUCCCCUUUUUAUACAGCAGAUUUGAUACCCAUGAAGAAAACCCACCGGUGCCCAGAGAGAAAGAAGAGAGGAGGAACAUAGAUGGCGACCUUAACUUUGGGGCCAGACGGCAGGUUGAAACAAUCACAUCCUGGAAGGGCCCGAUCAUGUGGAAUGGGAUAUUUGACCGGAAUGCUUAUGACGAGCUGCAUAUUCAACUCCGGUCCUCCGUGGCUCUCACUGUGUUUGCU
Long non-coding RNA from Platichthys flesus (European flounder), 297 nucleotides. RefSeq lists it as uncharacterized. The transcript is spliced from 3 exons. The record is from RefSeq and is a predicted model, not a curated record. Lineage: Eukaryota; Metazoa; Chordata; Actinopteri; Pleuronectiformes; Pleuronectidae.